GACAGAGGCCCCGAGCGUUAAUCGGAAUCACUGGGCUUAAAGGGUGCGUAGGCCGGCCCGCAAGUGCUUCGUGAAAGCCCACGGCUCAACCGUGGAACAGCGGGGCAUACUGCGGGUCUUGAGGCAGGUAGGGGUCGCGAGAACAGUAGGUGGAGCGGUGAAAUGCGUAGAUAUCUACUGGAAUGCCGAUGGUGAAGACGCGCGACUGGGCCUGUCCUGACGCUGAGGCACGAAAGCGUGGGGAGCAAACAGG
Molecule: ribosomal RNA, 253 nt
Filed under: uncultured bacterium
Lineage: Bacteria
Also listed under: 1 other name
Description: partial 16S ribosomal RNA
Rfam family: Bacterial small subunit ribosomal RNA
Source: RNAcentral